GCCAGUGUAGCAUAGUGGUAAGGAAUAGGGCUUGUAACCGGAAGGUUGGUGGUUUGAUUUCCCACUGGGG
Molecule: non-coding RNA, 70 nt
Organism: Megalops atlanticus (tarpon)
Lineage: Eukaryota; Metazoa; Chordata; Actinopteri; Elopiformes; Megalopidae
Source: the annotation of a GenBank genome assembly